AUCUUGCAUGUUUGUGACGGAAGUGCAGCACGGGACGCGGCGGACGCAGUGAAUUGGAGGCUGGAGCGACUGCUGGACGGUGCCAUGGAGGCCACUUUCUCAGAGAGGCGACACCUCAUCGUCAAGAGGAAAAUCCCGAUGGCCACCAUCCGUCGUCGAUGAAAACAAAGUCUGGAAAGAGCUGAGUCGGAUAAAAAAUGCCGACUUGCAGGACACCAACGAGUUGGAACUCUCCCGGGAAGCCAUGACCCCGAUUGUGGCCAAUGGCGAAGGUGAAAGAGCAGCUGGAUGCCUCACAGAUGACGAUGCGAUCGACCAUCUUCUCUGCACCGUGCUAAAGAGCACCAAGUUGUGUUCACAUCGGCGCCGCAGCCACGGCCUCAUGUGGCGGACGACUUCCACGCCAUAGAGGGCGUGCCAGCAGUGCAGUUUAAGGAGCUAACGGCAAAGGUGAACAAGCUGCUGACGUAGGGGGCCGCGUUCAGUGUUUGCGCAGUCGUUCAACCGCCCAGCCAUCCGUCUGGCCGGCUACCUGAUGUGUGCCGUGAUCCUGAAGACCGAUGUGUCGCCGCCCCCAAAGCAGUGGGCGGCGAUGACCGGCUGCGUUUAGGAGUGCACGGGGAGGGACAUGAGGCAGCACUUUAGGGACUUUCUGUCUCUUUUUGUGUUUGUGUUUCUGCCGGGUAGCUUUGCAAAGAAAUAGCGUUAACGCUUUUUCAUGCGUGUAGGCCAAGUUCACGUCUGGAAGGGCAUGAGCGUCGUGCUGUGUUCAUCACCCUUGUUCAUAUGAUCAAUGAUGUAAUAGUCGUGGUUUAUCUGCAUGCUAUGCAUUGUUUUAAUAAACCUUAUGUUUUAAU
This is a long non-coding RNA of Amphibalanus amphitrite, 857 nucleotides long. RefSeq lists it as uncharacterized. The transcript is spliced from 4 exons. The record is from RefSeq and is a predicted model, not a curated record. NCBI's taxonomy places the organism in Eukaryota, Metazoa, Arthropoda, Thecostraca, Balanomorpha, Balanidae.